GCCACGAGCCGAGCAGCCUUGCAGCGUAUGCUACUUCUAGUUGAGCAUCAUUUCAGAUUGAGCACUGCCUCAUAUCGAGCAUCAGUUCAAGACAACAUCUAGUUACUUCGGCCCACACAUGGACUGAAUUUCAAGUCUCCAGCGAAAAGACUCUCUUGACUGAAGACUUGGGGGACUACUGUUUAUACCAUAUUUAGGGUCUCGUAUUUAGACCUCAUAUAAAUACUUAAGGGGCUUAAAUGUAAUUAUGUAAUAAAGGAUGGGGAAAAUAUGUAAUUAGGGGAGGAGCCCUUAUUCUAUAAAAGGCCUCCUCACCCUCACAUUUCCUAAGUCUCUCAUAUCUAGAGCAAAGCUUUCACACUCUCUCCCUCUCAAAUACUCUCAGAUAAAUACAAUCAGUUGGACGUAGCCCAAACCUUGGGGUUCACGAUACAUCUUGUGUUAUUUACAUUUCUUGUAGAUUCAUGGUAAGAUUUACGUUGUUCCAAGACGUCCGGUUUUGUGCAUCAACAUUUGGCACCGUCUGUGGGAACCGACACGAAAAGCUAUAUCGGUUCUCUCUCUCAAUUUUUCACCUCCGCCCUGAAUCUGCAAAGAAAACCCAGGAACCAAACAACCCCACACCCAGAGACACACCCAUUCAAUAUAUAGAGAGAGCCUUCAUAAGCAAAUCAGGUGCAUCUCUCUUGAAUCCGUUGACCAACAGCCUCCAAUUCCAUAAGCAAAUCACAGAGACAGACAACACAACCAAUGGGGCAUUGACCUCUAACUGAUCUCAGCAAUCCAUCAGAUCUGAGACUCUGAUCCCCUCCAAACAACUGAACGUCCGCUCAUCUUUCUCCCUCAUCUCUCUUUCUCUUUAUAUGGCGCUAGAAGAAUCUUCUAACAAUGAAGAACAACGAUCCACGAACACUGAUAACAAUCCCAUCAUCAACGACGAUCAAGAAGGACGUCUCAUCGUCGUCAUUAUCCUCGAAAACCAGAGUUUUUUCUUG
This 995-nucleotide long non-coding RNA is filed under the name Malus domestica (apple). Its description in RNAcentral is "long non-coding RNA (MDOM_LNC017104)". The record is from RNAcentral. Lineage: Eukaryota; Viridiplantae; Streptophyta; Magnoliopsida; Rosales; Rosaceae.